CUUUUCCUCUCUUCCACAAGCACAACCCUUCUUCAGACGUCCAUAUACACUUCUCCCAAAAUCCUGUGCUUAACACAUUGUUACUGAGCACACAGGCGUGCUGGGGCAAGCGACGCCUGGGAAUAUGAAGCGAACGCCACACACUAGAACGCGCCCUGGGAGCUGGCCUCCGGUGGGGGACGCAGGUGUUGAAGACAUAACCGCAUGACCGAACUGUCUGCCACCAACUUGUACUAACUUCCGUCUCUCACCUGGGACCGUGCAGCCAGCAGCUCCUCCUGCAAGGGAUCAUGGCUUACCACCAUCCACCCCAAUGUCUCGGAGCUGCCUCAUUCUGCAGGAGGAGGCCCUUGCAGGGAUGGUGGUGGCAACUGCACAGCAAUGAACAAAACCGCUUUUUAAAUGUCACUAGUAAUUCCCAGGAUCACGCACAGCUCUAGAAAGCACCGCAGUAACUAUUCCUUCUGAACACCUUGGCACAGGAGACCUGGAGUGACCCUACGUGGCUUUCACCCAGGGGGAAUCAUGUCUGGGGCUAAAUACAAGGACAAAGGAGAGAGAAGCCUGGGGGAUGUCGGCUGGGGCAGUAGCAGUCAGAGAGCGAAGGGCUUGAAGGUCAUAUCAAGGAGUCUGAAUUUUGUUGUGUACAACACAGAGGGGUAUGGGAGACGGUUAAGUGGAGAACUAAGAGAACAAUAAGAGACAGUGCACCAGAGAUUGUUGCCUCCCCACUAUCUGUUUCUCCCUCCUUCCCUUCCAGUGAAACCUUGAUUUUAUUCUGGCCAGAAAUGUGUCUGGCCAAAGACUAUAUCUCCCAGUCUCCCUUGCAGCCAGAUAUGGCAUGUGACUGUUCUAAUCAAUGAGACAUGGGAGAAAUUGAUGAGGGUGCCUUGUGGAAAGCUCAAUCAAAAGAGGACACAGCUGAUGAAAGCUUUUUUUACCCAUUUCUUCUUCCUCCUGCAUUCCACCUGGAAUGAAGAUAUUAUGGUUGGUGCUCCAGCAGUUAUUUUGGGCUAUGAGGUAAUCUCCUCAUAGAGGCCAGAAAUUAGGUAAGGAAGAGCAAAG
This 1065-nucleotide long non-coding RNA is filed under the name Homo sapiens (human). RNAcentral's name for it is "PREDICTED lncRNA (TCONS_00199584)". Lineage: Eukaryota; Metazoa; Chordata; Mammalia; Primates; Hominidae. The record is from RNAcentral.